RNAcentral lists this ribosomal RNA (468 nucleotides) under uncultured bacterium. Its description in RNAcentral is "partial 16S ribosomal RNA". It matches the Rfam family "Bacterial small subunit ribosomal RNA", at positions 28 to 507 of the family's 1533-position model. The record is from RNAcentral.
GACGAACGCUGGCGGCGUGCUUAACACAUGCAAGUCGAACGGAAAGGCCCUGCUCUUGUGGGGUGCUCGAGUGGCGAACGGGUGAGUAACACGUGAGUAACCUGCCCUUGACUUUGGGAUAACUUCAGGAAACUGGGGCUAAUACCGGAUAGGAGCUCCUGCUGCAUGGUGGGGGUUGGAAAGUUUCGGCGGUUGGGGAUGGACUCGCGGCUUAUCAGCUUGUUGGUGGGGUAGUGGCUUACCAAGGCUUUGACGGGUAGCCGGCCUGAGAGGGUGACCGGCGACAAUGGGACUGAGAUACGGCCCAGACGCCUACGGGAGGCAGCAGUGGGGAAUAUUGCACAAUGGGCGGGAGCCUGAUGCAGCAACGCCGCGUGCGGGAUGACGGCCUUCGGGUUGUAAACCGCUUUCGCCUGUGACGAAGCGUGAGUGACGGUAAUGGGUAAAGAAGCCCCGGCUAACUACGUG